This 1245-nucleotide long non-coding RNA is filed under the name Lonchura striata (white-rumped munia). RNAcentral describes it as "domestica (Bengalese finch) lncRNA (ENSLSDG00000003434.1)". Lineage: Eukaryota; Metazoa; Chordata; Aves; Passeriformes; Estrildidae. The record is from RNAcentral.
GGGGUGUCGUGGUUUGACACGGAAAGAUAAUUUUUUCCGGAAGGAAGAGGUCAAUUUAGAUAUUGACCAAUUGAAAGUAGACACGCCUCUGAGAACACAGAGGGGUUGAAAGCAGAAUUCCCAGGGGAACUCGCUCUCUUUGGUUCCGGUCAGCGUGCAGUGCAAACCUCCCCUGCCCAGCCACGAGCUGGGUGGGGAGGGGAAGCCCCAUGGCCUGAUAGAGGUAACUCCGAAGGGUGAAAGGACUGGAACCGGGCUGGCCCCUGCAGAUGGAAGGGUGGAAGAAAUCUGGGAUGUCUCCAUUUCCCCCCCCAGAGUGUCUCUCCCGAGAGGGAGAGAGAAAGCCGCAAGGAAGGAGGAGCGGGGGGAGCUGCUGCAAGGUGCCCAGUUGUGUGGGAGUUGCUGGAUGUCCGGCAUCGAGCCAUCCUGGGAGUUCGGACUUUUAACCCUUCCUUGAGAAAUGAAAGCUUUGUGAAUUUUCCUUUCCCCUCCUCGGUUUGAAAGAGAAGAAGAGGGACACCUUGGACCCUGGGAUGGGAUGUUGGAAGGAGGAAUUCUGGAUGGGAGGGGGACAAGGAGUGGCUUUUGGCUGGACUUUUCCAUGUUAGCCACAACCUGAACCAAAUCUUCUCCUUCAAGAGGGACUGUUUUGGGAGGAUGCCAGUGAGUCAAGAGACCUGCUUCAGCUGGGAAAAAGACAAAAGUGGAGUGAACAGAGAAAAGGGCAUCCUUGAAAGGAAAAAUCCUAAAGGCAGUCUGACCAUCCAUGCAUUGGUGGUGAGAGCACUGUGCAUGGAAAGGAGAAAGGUCACCAUGGCAAACUUUUUUCUCCGGGCGGUGCCAUGUGUGACAUGGAAACAAAGGAUGUGGAGCUGUGUUUCUUGGGGGGUCUGUGGCACAGGAGAGACUCUGUUCCCUCGAUGGACUGAGUAUCGGUUGUUUGAAGGGUGGAAACCUGAUUGGGGUCCAGAUUGUGUCUCACUGUGGUUUGUUGGAGUUGGGUGGUGGGGGGGGGAGGAAUGUUUUGCAAGGUUUUCAUUUGGAUCUGUGUGGUUUUUUUUUCCCUUCUUUAGUUUUCUCUUUUCUUUUGUAGUGGUAGUUUAAUAAAGUUUUUUUCCUGUUAUCAAGCUUGGGCCUGCUUUGCUCUAUUCUAGAUUCCACUUCACAGCAUUCCAGGUAGGGAUCACAUUUUCAUGGGGGCACUGGCAUUGUGCCAGUGUCAAACCAUGACAUGGGGACAUCCAG